GUAGGUGGCAAGCGUUGUCCGGAAUUAUUGGGCGUAAAGCGCGCGCAGGCGGUCCUUUAAGUCUGAUGUGAAAGCCCACGGCUCAACCGUGGAGGGUCAUUGGAAACUGGGGGACUUGAGUACAGAAGAGGAAAGCGGAAUUCCAAGUGUAGCGGUGAAAUGCGUAGAGAUUUGGAGGAACACCAGUGGCGAAGGCGGCUUUCUGGUCUGUAACUGACGCUGAGGCGCGAAAGCGUGGGGAGCAAACAGGGAUUAGAUACCCUGGUAGUCCACGCCGUAAACGAUGAGUGCUAAGUGUUAGGGGGUUUCCCGCCCCUUAGUGCUGCAGCUAACGCAUUAAGCACUCCGCCUGGGGAUACGGCCCGCAAGGCUG
RNAcentral lists this ribosomal RNA (373 nucleotides) under uncultured organism. RNAcentral describes it as "partial 16S ribosomal RNA". It matches the Rfam family "Bacterial small subunit ribosomal RNA", at positions 527 to 896 of the family's 1533-position model. The record is from RNAcentral.